Molecule: ribosomal RNA, 376 nt
Filed under: Eubacterium sp. BIOML-A1
Lineage: Bacteria; Bacillati; Bacillota; Clostridia; Eubacteriales; Eubacteriaceae
Description: bacterial SSU rRNA
Rfam family: Bacterial small subunit ribosomal RNA
Source: RNAcentral
CGUAAGAUGUGAGGAAGGUGGGGAUGACGUCAAAUCAGCACGGCCCUUACGUCCGGGGCUACACACGUGUUACAAUGGGGGGUACAGAAGGCAGCUAGCGGGUGACCGUAUGCUAAUCCCAAAAUCCUCUCUCAGUUCGGAUCGAAGUCUGCAACCCGACUUCGUGAAGCUGGAUUCGCUAGUAAUCGCGCAUCAGCCACGGCGCGGUGAAUACGUUCCCGGGCCUUGUACACACCGCCCGUCAAGCCAUGGGAGCCGGGGGUACCUGAAGUACGUAACCGCAAGGAUCGUCCUAGGGUAAAACUGGUGACUGGGGCUAAGUCGUAACAAGGUAGCCGUACCGGAAGGUGCGGCUGGAACACCUCCUUUCUGGAGC